CCACUUCUCAAUUAGUAAAGCACAAGGCUCUUAACCUUGUGGACGUGGGUUCAAGCCCCAUGAUGGGGG
Molecule: transfer RNA, 69 nt
Filed under: Triticum urartu
Lineage: Eukaryota; Viridiplantae; Streptophyta; Magnoliopsida; Poales; Poaceae
Rfam family: tRNA
About the family: Transfer RNA (tRNA) molecules are approximately 80 nucleotides in length. Their secondary structure includes four short double-helical elements and three loops (D, anti-codon, and T loops). Further hydrogen bonds mediate the characteristic L-shaped molecular structure. tRNAs have two regions of fundamental functional importance: the anti-codon, which is responsible for specific mRNA codon recognition, and the 3' end, to which the tRNAs corresponding amino acid is attached (by aminoacyl-tRNA synthetases). tRNAs cope with the degeneracy of the genetic code in two manners: having more than one tRNA (with a specific anti-codon) for a particular amino acid; and 'wobble' base-pairing, i.e. permitting non-standard base-pairing at the 3rd anti-codon position.
Source: Rfam by way of RNAcentral